RNAcentral lists this ribosomal RNA (465 nucleotides) under Vreelandella stevensii. RNAcentral's name for it is "partial 16S ribosomal RNA". It matches the Rfam family "Bacterial small subunit ribosomal RNA", at positions 338 to 795 of the family's 1533-position model. Lineage: Bacteria; Pseudomonadati; Pseudomonadota; Gammaproteobacteria; Oceanospirillales; Halomonadaceae. The record is from RNAcentral.
CCUACGGAAGGCUGCAGUGGGGAAUAUUGGACAAUGGGGGGAACCCUGAUCCAGCCAUGCCGCGUGUGUGAAGAAGGCCCUCGGGUUGUAAAGCACUUUCAGUGAGGAAGAACGCCUGGUGGUUAAUACCCAUCAGGAAAGACAUCACUCACAGAAGAAGCACCGGCUAACUCCGUGCCAGCAGCCGCGGUAAUACGGAGGGUGCGAGCGUUAAUCGGAAUUACUGGGCGUAAAGCGCGCGUAGGUGGCUUGAUAAGCCGGUUGUGAAAGCCCCGGGCUCAACCUGGGAACGGCAUCCGGAACUGUCAAGCUAGAGUGCAGGAGAGGAAGGUAGAAUUCCCGGUGUAGCGGUGAAAUGCGUAGAGAUCGGGAGGAAUACCAGUGGCGAAGGCGGCCUUCUGGACUGACACUGACACUGAGGUGCGAAAGCGUGGGUAGCAAACAGGAUUAGAUACCCUUGUAGUC